RNAcentral lists this ribosomal RNA (450 nucleotides) under uncultured bacterium. RNAcentral describes it as "partial 16S ribosomal RNA". It matches the Rfam family "Bacterial small subunit ribosomal RNA", at positions 354 to 796 of the family's 1533-position model. The record is from RNAcentral.
GUGGGGAAUAUUGGACAAUGGGCGAAAGCCUGAUCCAGCCAUGCCGCGUGUGUGAAGAAGGUCUUCGGAUUGUAAAGCACUUUAAGUUGGGAGGAAGGGCAGUAAGUUAAUACCUUGCUGUUUUGACGUUACCGACAGAAUAAGCACCGGCUAACUUCGUGCCAGCAGCCGCGGUAAUACGAAGGGUGCAAGCGUUAAUCGGAAUUACUGGGCGUAAAGCGCGCGUAGGUGGUUUUGUAAGUUGGAGGUGAGAUCCCCGGGCUCAACCUGGGAACUGCCUCCAAAACUGCAUGACUAGAGUGCGGUAGAGGGUAGUGGAAUUUCCUGUGUAGCGGUGAAAUGCGUAGAUAUAGGAAGGAACACCAGUGGCGAAGGCGACUACCUGGACUGAUACUGACACUGAGGUGCGAAAGCAUGGGGAGCAAACAGGAUUAGAAACCCGAGUAGUCC